CAAAGGGAUUACCGGUGGCGGAUGGGCAUGCGGCGCAUUAGCUAGUCGGCGGGGUAACGGCCCACCGAGGCGACGAUGCGUAGGGGUUCUGAGAGGAAGGUCCCCCACACUGGUACUGAGACACGGACCAGACUCCUACGGGAGGCAGCAGUGAGGAAUAUUGGUCAAUGGGCGCGAGCCUGAACCAGCCAAGUCGCGUGAGGGAUGACGGUCCUACGGAUUGUAAACCUCUUUUGCCGGGGAGCAAGCGUGCGUUCGUGGACGCGCGUCGAGAGUACCCGGAGAAAAAGCAUCGGCUAACUCCGUGCCAGCAGCCGCGGUAAUACGGAGGAUGCGAGCGUUAUCCGGAUUUAUUGGGUUUAAAGGGUGCGUAGGCGGGAUGCCAAGUCAGCGGUAAAAAUGCGGUGCUCAACGCCGUCGAGCCGUUGAAACUGGCGUUCUUGAGUGGGCGAGAAGUAUGCGGAAUGCGUGGUGUAGCGGUGAAAUGCAUAGAUAUCACGCAGAACUCCGAUUGCGAAGGCAGCAUACCGGCGCCCUACUGACGCUGAGGCACGAAAGCGUGGGUAUCGAACAGGAUUAGAUACCCUGGUAGUCCACGCAGUAAACGAUGAAUGCUAACUGUCCGGCUCGAAUGAGCGCUGG
This 642-nucleotide ribosomal RNA is filed under the name uncultured bacterium. RNAcentral describes it as "bacterial SSU rRNA". It matches the Rfam family "Bacterial small subunit ribosomal RNA", at positions 202 to 842 of the family's 1533-position model. The record is from RNAcentral.